GACAGCAGUAGCCGCGGUAAUACGUAGGGUGCGAGCGUUAAUCGGAAUUACUGGGCGUAAAGCGAGCGCAGACGGUUACUUAAGCAGGAUGUGAAAUCCCCGGGCUCAACCUGGGAACUGCGUUCUGAACUGGGUGACUAGGGUGUGUCAGAGGGAGGUAGAAUUCCACGUGUAGCAGUGAAAUGCGUAGAGACGUGGAGGAAUACCGAUGGCGAAGGCAGCCUCCUGGGAUAACACUGACGUUCAUGCUCGAAAGCGUGGGUAGCAAACAGGAUUAGAUACCCCAGUAGUCCCUGUCUCUUAUAC
RNAcentral lists this ribosomal RNA (306 nucleotides) under uncultured bacterium. RNAcentral's name for it is "partial 16S ribosomal RNA". It matches the Rfam family "Bacterial small subunit ribosomal RNA", at positions 507 to 807 of the family's 1533-position model. The record is from RNAcentral.